GACGAACGCUGGCGGCGUGCCUAAUACACGCAAGUAGAACGCAGUUGCGAACGGGUGAGUAAAGCGUAGGUAACUGCCACAUAGCGGGGGCUAACUAUUGGACAAGCUAGCUACUACCUCAUACUGUGAGAUGGACCUGCGUUGUCUUAGCUAGUUGGGGAGGUAAAGGCUCACAAAGGCGACUAUACAUAUCCUACCGUAGAGGUUGACCGGCCACACUGGGACGUAGACACGGACCAGACUCGUACUGGAGGCAGCAGUAGGGAUUCUUCGGCAAUGGACGGAAGUCUGACCGAGCAACGCCGCGGUAGUGAAGAAGGUUUUCGGAACGUAAAGCUCUGUUGUUAGAGAAGCGGUAACUAACCAGAAAAGGACGGCUAACUACGUGCCAGCAGCCGCGGUAAUUC
This 407-nucleotide ribosomal RNA is filed under the name uncultured bacterium. Its description in RNAcentral is "partial 16S ribosomal RNA". It matches the Rfam family "Bacterial small subunit ribosomal RNA", at positions 28 to 526 of the family's 1533-position model. The record is from RNAcentral.